GACGAACGCUGGCGGCGUGCUUAACACAUGCAAGUCGAACGGAAAGGCCUCUUUCGGGGGGUACUCGAGUGGCGAACGGGUGAGUAACACGUGAGUAACCUGCCCUUGACUUUGGGAUAACUUCAGGAAACUGGGGCUAAUACCGGAUAGGAGCUCCUGCUGCAUGGUGGGGGUUGGAAAGUUUCGGCGGUUGGGGAUGGACUCGCGGCUUAUCCGCUUGUUGGUGGGGUAGUGGCUUACCAAGGCUUUGACGGGUAGCCGGCCUGAGAGGGUGAUCGGCCACAUUGAGACUUAGAGACGGCCCAGACUCCGACGGGAGGCAGCUGUGGGGAAGCUUGCACGAUGGGUGGAGGCCUGAUGCAGCAACGCCGUGUGCGGGAUGACGGCCUUCGGGUUGUAAACCGCUUUCGCUCAUGACGAAGCUUUGUGUGACGGUAGUGGGUAAAGAAGCACCGGCUAACUACGUG
This 467-nucleotide ribosomal RNA is filed under the name uncultured bacterium. Its description in RNAcentral is "partial 16S ribosomal RNA". It matches the Rfam family "Bacterial small subunit ribosomal RNA", at positions 28 to 507 of the family's 1533-position model. The record is from RNAcentral.